UACGAAGGGGGCUAGCGUUGUUCGGAUUUACUGGGCGUAAAGCGCGUGUAGGCGGGCUUUUAAGUCGGGGGUGAAAUCCCAGAGCUCAACUCUGGAACUGCCUCCGAGACUGAGAGUCUGGACCCAAGGAGAGGCGAGUGGAAUUGCGAGUGUAGAGGUGAAAUUCGUAGAUAUUCGCAGGAACACCAGUGGCGAAGGCGACUCGCUGGACUUGUGGUGACGCUGAGACGCGAAAGCGUGGGGAGCAAACAGG
Molecule: ribosomal RNA, 253 nt
Filed under: uncultured bacterium
Lineage: Bacteria
Description: partial 16S ribosomal RNA
Rfam family: Bacterial small subunit ribosomal RNA
Source: RNAcentral